This 7921-nucleotide long non-coding RNA is filed under the name Physcomitrium patens. RNAcentral's name for it is "long non-coding RNA (PPAT_LNC012349)". The record is from RNAcentral. Lineage: Eukaryota; Viridiplantae; Streptophyta; Bryopsida; Funariales; Funariaceae.
UUGAUAGGGAGGUCAACUCCCACAUUCCAUUGGAUAUGAAUGAGCCAUACUCCUCUUGUAUAUCUGCCUUCUACUUGCUUGCAUCAUGUUGUGACAAGAUGUGAAUCUUUGACCACUCUCUAGGUAGCCGGCGCUCUCUUUCAAGAUAACAAUGCUCUUUGAUGGGAUGCCUCUAUUGAAUGGUGCUUGAUUUAGGCCUGGUUGCUUUGCUUGAGGUGAUUUGAAGUUGAGGUGUUGAAAAAUAUCCUUGAGCAUCUUGCUUCCCAACUUGUUUGUUCUUGUUGAAAUCCUCCAUGCCUUUAUCCUCCUCAUCAUCAUCAAAAGAAGGUGAUUUGGAAGAUUUGUCUAUAAUCACCAUUGUGUCGAUGGAGCUCUCAUUUCUCCCACUUAGAAGCAUCUCCAAAUCUUUGCCAACACUAGUAUUAUCCUCAAUAAACACAACGUUGUCGUUUGGCAUGAUUUACAAAUUAGAAAUAUAUUAGAUAUCUAGUUGUAGAAAGUUUGGUUUUAACUUAUUAGCUAAACUCCAAUAAGUAAUUUAUUCCAUCUUUAACUUAUAAACAAAGUCUUAACUCCCAAAACCUGUUUACUUUAUAUAAAAUCACUAAAUUGUAGCAAAAUCCCUCUUAACAUAUUUUUUCCACAUAUGAUUUCUUCUUUUCAAACUUUAGAAAAUCAUAUCUCUUCAUUCAACUGUUCACUUUUUCUCAAAUUUCUAGAUAGUAUAGUACUUAUUCUUAAGCUUUAUCAAAAAAAAAAAAAAAAAAAAAAAAAAAAAAACCAUAAAUUCACUACCGAUCUUUUGGCAUCGUAGAAAUUAUAGCAGGUGCUCUAAACUCUAACUUAUAAGCACUCGUGCACUAUUUUCUUCAUAUCUCAAGAAUCCGAAAUUCAAAUAUUACAAAAUUUAUACAUAAAGCUUACUUACAUAAAUAUACACAUUCUAAAAAAUUUUGAGUCAAAAUCUUGUCAAAUUGCUCUAGAUACACCUCAAAACACAACCACUAGUAAACCGGGUCAUUUACUACCAUUAGAUUGCAAGUACUAACUUCAACCUUGAAUAUCUCAUUUUAUUAAACUUGUAAUCUAAUAAAUAGUAUACCAAAAGUAUAGCCGAAAAAGUCUUCUUUUUAACCGCAGUCACCAAUCCUUCAUUGUUUUUUGUACGCAUGCGUUAUGUCUAAAAGUGUGAUAGUAGGUACAAGUUUGAUACCUUAAUUUUCAGCGCCUAUAUCUCCUUUAUAUAAACUCCAAAUCAUACAAAAUUUCUACCAAAACCAUAACCAAAAAACUGAACUUGCUGACCUUAGCCUCAAAAGUUCGAAUUCUUCCAAAAAACUAAUCCUAAUCCCUAAUAUGGCCUCGAGCAACCUCCUUGAAGGCCAUUGGGCAUGAUUUUUAGCUAAUAGGAAUGGAGAUUUUCCUCAUCCAUCUCCAUACAUUCAUAUUGAUGCCCUAACCCUUCUUUUAACUACCAAAAUCCCUCUUCAAUCUUUUUUCUUAUAAGAUCUACAUAAUAUAUGUCCUAAGCAUCAAUUAAAAGAAUCAAAAUAAGAUUUUAAGGAUCACCAAUGUCUAAAAAAGGUGAUUCUAAAUGUAUAAAAGUUUCUACCAACAAAAUCAACUUCAAAAGCCACAAUCAAAAGAAAAUAAAAUUAUACAAAUUCUAAUUGUAACUCUUUUAAACAACCUCUCUUCAAGGUAGUAACCUAACCACAUUCUACAACUAACUAAAAUCCACUAACAUAACUCUCAUCAUGUAACUUACUAAAUUAUACAUUAAAUAUAUAAGCAUAUAAUUUUUACAUGAUAACCAAACCACAACAUAAUAAUGUUGUCAUAUUACGUGAAUUCUUGCUCCAGAAUGCAUUGAGCACCUAGUUGUGGAAGGUAAAAGAGAAAUACACUAACAAGAUGUUAAUAACUCUAAUGGACUCCUAAAUAAAUUCUAAUUAAUCUUUAAUAAUAUUAAUCAAGUUUUAAUUUAAUAUAAAAGAUAUCUUAAAGAUAUACUAAAAAUAGAAAUCUUUAUCAAAUCCUAAUAACUCUGAGUCAAAUCUUAAUAAAAUUUAAUAUAAUCUUAAUCAAACCUUAUUCUUAUUCUAGUCAAAUCUUAGUCAAAUCUUAGUCAAAUCCUAAUCAAACCUUAGUCAAAUCUUAAUGAAAUCCUAAAUCCUAACCAAAUCCUAGACCAAUCUUAAAUCCUAAUUAAAUCCUAAUCCAAUCCUAAAUCCUAAGAAAAUCUUAACCAAACCAUAUCCGAAUCCUAAAUCCUAAGCAAACCCUAGAUAAACCCUCAACAAAUCCUAAAUCCUAACCUUAAUCUAAUCAUAGAUCAAAUCCUAAAUCCAAAGAAAAUCCAAAUCCUAAUCAAAUCCUAAUCAAUUUUUAAUCAAACACUAAAUCUCAAAUAAUUUUCUAACAACCUUACAACAGAUUUUGAAAUUCAAUAACUAAUGUUUAAAUCAUUGAUUUCAAGUCAAAUUUUGCACACUUCUGAACAAUUAGAUUAACAAUAAGCAUAAAAAAUAAAUUAAAGAGGAUUGGACUUACCAAAUGAACGAUAAUCUCAAACAUGUGCUUAGGUAUUGGCUAGCCUCUUUUUCCAACCUUGGUGCCAAUCUCCUAGAGCAAAUUACUCCUGAUUGAACUGUUCAUUUGCUUCCAAAAUUUACACACUUGUUUGAAAUCAAGCUCACUACCUCCAUGCAAAGUUUUGCUUCAAUCUAAUAGGCGGAUUGACAGAUAUCAAAGAAAUCCUUAUUGGUCCUCAAAACCUUAAACCUCAAUCCACUUAACCUCAAUAUUCUUUAAUUUAACCAUUUGAUUGAGUCUAAUUUUACAACAAGCAUUGAAAACAAUUACGUUCACAAAUCCUUAAUAUUUCACUUAUAGAUCUCAUACAAAACUUCCAAAAUUAUCCAAAAUAUCAAUUCAAUUAUAUUUCUCAAAACCCCAGUCAUCCAAAAACAACCUCGACUUUGCAAAGCUCUUACAAAGUCAAUAAUCACUCAAAUCAUCCAAAAUCAAUGCCUAUCAAAACUCUCUCAAGUCUGCUCCCUAAUUCCACUCUUGGAUUUCUAAAAGAACCCUCUAGUUAUUGUAGGCAAGCAGUUUUGUGCCUUGGGAUCUGAUUUUGAUCCUAAUUGGCAAUUGGUCCCAUUUGGGUAUCAACUCUUCUUUUUUUUAGGUAAUUUUUUCUAAAAUCUUUUUUCAACUCCUUUCUAAAGAUGCCUAUAUUUUUUAUUUUUCUAAUCCACUUUUUUUUGCCUUAUUAAUUGCUAUACAAAGUAAAUAGAAGUCACUUUUCUAAAAAUGCAACAUUACUACUAAAGCUUUUACUUCAUUACUAUCUUUUAUCUAUAUUUUGGUACUUUAUAUUUUAACUUCGCUCUUCUAUGAUAAGAUCCAUAUUUUUAUCUUUUGCCAUAUAGUCGUGAUACAACACAAUAACAUUCCUACACUUCAUGAUCUUUUUAGUUUCAAUAUUCGUGAAUAUAUAUAUAUAUAUAUAUAUAUAUAUAUAUAUGCUUUCGUGCUUUCACAAUACCCAAGGAAGAUGGAUUUUUAUCCUUUGGCAUCAAGCUUGAUCAUCUUUUCAUCUGACAUCAUGGCAAAUCUAAUACACUUAAACACACGCAUAGGCUCAAUAUGGAGCCAUCUUCCAUUCCAUGCCUCCUCGGGUGUGGUGGACUCCAAUGCCUUUGUUGGACAUCGAUUGCGUGUGUACAUUGCGUCCACCACUGCAUCCACCAAAAACUCAAACUUGAGACAUUGUGCAUAGAUCAUAUUCUUUGCCAUCUCCAUAAUAGGAGAAUUUGUACACUCUGCUACUCCAUUUUAUUAAAGUGUCUAGGGAGUAGACGUUUCCAUCUCGAUGCCAUAUUUUUUCAAGAAGUAUUCAAAUCUCUUGGAUAUGUACUCUCUACCAUUGUCCAAUCAAAACACCUUAUUUUGAUACUCCGAUUGGAUUUCUGCAAGUGCCUUGAACUCCUUCAAUGUCUCUAAACACUUGUUCUUUGACUUCAAGAUGUAUAUCCACACCUUCAUCAAGAAAUCAUCAAUGAAGGUCAAGAAAUACCUUUUGCCACCAAAAGACGUGGUCUUCAUGGAGACACAUACAUCCAAAUGCACAAUCUUAAGGGAUUUGGUAGCACGCCUUGUUUCAUCUCUUAAAUAGCUCGCCCUAUGGUAUUUAUCCUUGAUGCAUCCUUUACAAACCAAAUUCAAUGAAGAGUACAGGGAUUUGCCAAGGUCCAUGCCACUCACCAUAUUUUAGAGCGUACACACUCCCUUCACAUUCAAAUGACCAAUUUGGCGAUGCCAAAGCUCCAAUGCCUCUUGAUUUGAUGAAGAUUGUGCCACAUUCACCUCGUCUAUCACAUGCAUCUUUGAAAACGUAAUUUGGUAUAAAUUGCCUUCAUGGGACGCUCUUACAACAAAUUCUCCACUUAGAGCACUCACAAUACAUCCAUCCAUGUUAAAAUAUACCUUCAAUCCACUUAACAUGAGCUUGCUCAUCGAAAGCAAAUUUGCUUGUAACUUGGCUAUAUGGAAUACCUCCAUGAUUCAAACCCUCUUGCUAACUUCUUUUACCACUACUUUCAUAAUAAUGUAGUCCAUGCCAAUGGCCUCCAUAAUGCUAUCAUCAUCCAAAUACACAUUUCAUUUAAAAAUUAUCUUAUAAGUAUAGAAUGGUAUCUGAUGAGAAGUCAUAUGCUUCGUAGCUCCCAAAUCCAUGAUCUACUUGCAUAUGGCCUUGAAAUACACUCCACUUAGGAUUAUAAAUGUAUAAUCGUCAUCAUCGUCUUUAGCAAUCUUAGCAUCAAUCUUCUCCUUGUCAUUGUUCUUGGCCUUGAAGCAAAAAUGGGCAAUGUGGUUCAGUUUGCCAUAAUAGUAACAAGUCUUGAUGUCUUUACAUGUAGAUGGAUUUCCACCCUUGUCUGAACAUGACACCAUGGUGGUAUCUUCACCUUAGAAUUCUUUUUCCUUCCUCUUGGUCAUCUCAUGCAUCAAUCGCAUUGUCACAAAUUCCAUGGUGAGUUCUUUUACGUGCAUUACCUCCAAGAUGGUGAUCAAGUUGUCAAAAGAUGAUGGCAAGCUUGUAAGCAAGAUCGUGACUACUUCAUCUUUUAGGGGCACCUCCAAGCAAACUAGUUGUUUGGCAAGUGCUUUGACUUUGCUAAUAUGAUAUAAUAAGUCCUCUCUCUCUUGCAUCUUAGCAUCAAAGAACUUGUGUCAAAUGAAGAGGAUGUUGGACAAGCUCUUAAAUUCGUGGAUGUUAUAAAGCAUGUUCCAUGCCUCUGUGGGUCCCUUGCAAAGUUUGAUGUGUCAAAGUUGACUAUCUACCAAGUUUAGUGCGAUGGGAGACAUUAUCGUGCAAACUCACUUUCGAUACUCAGUCUUGAUUUUGAGGUUGGCAUUAGAAGGUUGAGGCUCUUUGAUGCCCUUCACAAUCUUCCAAAUUUCCAAGGAAGCAAAGAACAUCUCAAUUUUGAACUUCCAAAGGUUGAAGUUCUCUCUAUUGAAUUUUUCAAUGACUAUAGUCCUCUCAUCCUCAAAGGAUGCUAACUCUUAAUUGAAUAUAUUGCAAAACAAUCCCAAGUUAUACCAAAGAAGCACUCUUAUUCUCAAAUACUUCAAAUCAGCUUGUUCUAAGUUCAAAGUUACACUUUUACACCUCAAACACUCUAAUCAAUCCUUUUACAGCUCAAAUAUAUACAUAUGCAUUCCAAAUAUCAAAUUAGCUUCUAUUUGGCUCAAAUGUGCAAUUAUGCACCUUAUAUACUCAAAUUAAUCCAUAUUUGGAUCAAAUGUACAAUUAUGCACCUUAUAUAUUCAAAUUAAUCCAUAUUUGGAUCAAAUGUGUACUUAUGUACUCUAAUCACUCAAAUCAAUGCCUACCUAGUUGAAAUGGAUAGUAUUGUAUCUAGAAUCACUGAAGUCAUUCUUAAUAUGACUCAAAUGUUUAUUCAUGUAUCUGAAUCACUCAAAAGAAGACCAAUAGAGUACUUACAAGCUUUAACCUUACAAAAUGCACUUGCAAUGCUUUGAAUGGCUUCUAAGUAUUCCAAAUAUUGACUUCGGCACCUCUCAAAUUCCAUAUGCUACCAAAGAUUGCUAAAUGCACAUCCAUGCACCUUCAACAUUUCAAAAAGGCUACCAAGUGUGCACAAAUGCACCUUCAACAUUUCAAAAAGGCUACCAAGUGUGCACAAAUGCACCUCCAACAUAUAAAAGCACUUAAAGAUCUUCCUUCUAACAAACUCAUAAUCAAACCUCCAAAAUUGCAACUCACAUCAAUGGAUCAAUAACCUAUUGGAAUACAAUAGGAUUAGAAGAAAGAAGACACAAGUUCAAGUACUUAGACCACACAAGUAUGUGAACAAAUAAUUAGAUUGAGAUACAAGUCCCUUAUAAUCCUUAAUCUUUAUUCUUCACCAAGUAGACUAGCAUCCAUAACAAAUAUGGGACAUCUCCUCAUCUUAUUUCUUAUUCUAAUAUAUUCAUGGUGCUAACAUACUCCAAAUCGAUCUAUCUCUAUGAUUAAUUGCAAUUCAUAUUUAUAUAUCUAAUAUCUUCAACACUACCUCUUUGAGUACGUUGUCUGUGAAUGGUAGUGGGAAUGGGUACUUCGGAGUCACGUGAUUCAACUUAUGAUAAUUUGCUCAUAUUCAAAGUUUUCCAUUCUUUUUUGGUAUGUGAGAAUCACCCUCGGUAGCUUCGAAUUACCAAAGCGAUGUAGAUCUGGACGAUCCAAUCGAACGAGGAGGAUCGAUGGCAAGGUCGAAGAAAUGGCGAAGGAUUUUGGAGCCCGGGAGUCGAAGGAGGUCUGUUUAAGGAAAAGCGACAAGUCCAAGGGAGAGAGCUAGUCCAGGGAGAUGAGGCUAGUUCGAUAGACAUGAAGAGAUCAGAGAAGAGUUGCAGAUCCCUCUAUGUAAGUGUGACCUAGGACCUUCCGAAAGUAGAAUGUGAGACUGACAUUGGCGAUAGUCGAGUGCUAAUAAUGCAGGAUGGGACUAAGUCCAGUAUAUAUACAAUGUUGAAGUAAAGUUCUGUCAUUGAUCGAACAUCUCCUAUAUGCAGUCUAUGAUUGUAUCGAGUCAAAUAAAGUAAUUCAAAGGAAGAUAUUAUGCCAAAGAUAUUCAAGGUACUCCCUUCAGAUCCUUGUAAGACCACACAAAUACGUCCCUAUACUCUUUUACCAGUUUGUUGUAUGCAUAUAUUUUCUCUUCACUCAAUUGGGCCUCCAUUUUUAUUUGUCUAGGCUCCUCUCCAUCCAUUUCUAUUAUGGCAUACUCCCAAUCACUUUUCGCAAAAUGAGUUUCUUCGGUAUUAUUUCUAUAAUAGUUUGAAAGUACCUUUGAAUAAUCAUGGACAUUCUCUCCUACUUUGAUUCCUGAGGAUGUGGUUUUAAAAUGUAUGGAAUUUUUUAGCAAUGUCUCCUCCUUUAAGACAUCUUCCUCUUGCAUGCCAUCUAUCAGCAAUGAGUACAUGCUCUCACACUCUAUAUCAUCAAGGAAAAGUUACAAUCCUCCCACUAACUAUGUUAACUCAUCAGAGACAUCAUCAAUACCUCGAAAACUGAAGAUCACAUCUAUUCCUACUUCUCCCUCUUCUAGAGUUUCCUCAAUAAAAUUUAUGGUCUUUCUCUCAUCUGAAGCUAAGUCAGAGUGUUCCUCCAAUCAUUGAGUAUACUCCCCAUCAACCUUUCAAUAAUAAAGAUUAGGGCCUAAACACCCUAACCCAUCUACACCUAAACCUAGACUCGUCUUUCUUACUUGUAUUGCCUCCACUAGUACCUUGCCUUUCUUUAAAGAUGAUUCCAUGUCCACGUCAUCAAAAGAUGAAUCUUGAUUCCCUAUCAGAAGUGAAGUUGGUCUAAUACACACUUUCGUUUGAUUUUAGGUAGGUCCAUAAA